AGGUUCGCCGCCCCUGUAUCCAGCGCUUUGGCCUCGGGGCGCGCCUUCCCGCGCACGGGUGUUCACGCGAACUCGGGCAGCCUCUGGACUUUGCCGAAAGGGCGCUUCAAAAGAGGAUUUCGCCUCUCCCUUCGCCCUCCGUUCCCAUCACGGUGGGCUGGUGCGGUCCCGAGCUGUGACGUCUCUCUUGCAUCAUGGGCCGGGGUCUCCCUGGCCAAGGUCUUUGCUGCUUCCCCACUGCCUACAAAAUCAUGAUCAACUUCUUCAGCUUGAUAUGCAAGACUUAUCACAGGUGAACCCAGGACUAUCUUCACAGUCUUGUCUCUGAUUGCCUGAAUACCCUAAAGUCACCCUGGACUAGCGUUCAUCAUUCCCUGCCUGUCCAUGCAAUUUCAUGCCUCUUUGCUACUGUCCAUUCUGUUCCAUCAUCUCUUCUCUUCCUGGUGAAACUCCUUUCCAUCCUUCCAGAUUUGGCUCUAAAUGUCACUCUCUUCUACAACUUCCUUUGAUCCUUUCUUCAGGGAGCUGGAGGAGGAAGUAAGGGAAGGGUCAGUAAGUAUUUCCAUAGAAUUUUAUUUACUAU
Molecule: long non-coding RNA, 583 nt
Filed under: Ursus maritimus (polar bear)
Lineage: Eukaryota; Metazoa; Chordata; Mammalia; Carnivora; Ursidae
Description: lncRNA (ENSUMAG00000002633.1)
Source: RNAcentral